CAGCAGCAGCCGCGGUAAUACAGAGGGUGCGAGCGUUAAUCGGAUUUACUGGGCGUAAAGCGUGCGUAGGCGGCUUCUUAAGUCGGAUGUGAAAUCCCUGAGCUUAACUUAGGAAUUGCAUUCGAUACUGGGAAGCUAGAGUAUGGGAGAGGAUGGUAGAAUUCCAGGUGUAGCGGUGAAAUGCGUAGAGAUCUGGAGGAAUACCGAUGGCGAAGGCAGCCAUCUGGCCUAAUACUGACGCUGAGGUACGAAAGCAUGGGGAGCAAACAGGAUUAGAGACCCCGGUAGUCCCUGUCUCUUAUAC
RNAcentral lists this ribosomal RNA (304 nucleotides) under uncultured bacterium. Its description in RNAcentral is "partial 16S ribosomal RNA". It matches the Rfam family "Bacterial small subunit ribosomal RNA", at positions 506 to 807 of the family's 1533-position model. The record is from RNAcentral.